GCUUGAAUUUUAAAUAUCACAUUCAUGGGACUAAACAGUGAAGAUGCUGGCAGUUUAUAUCUGGCCAGUAACAAAUCACAGAAAAAGCAGCUCUGUCUGUGAAGUAACAUGGAAGCUCGUUCAGCCAUGGACCACAUUCAUCACAAACUGAAGAUAAAGGCAUGUCUCAGUUUAUCUGAGAUAUUCAAGCUGUUUGGAAGAAUCUCAGUUUUUCUACUAGAAUACAGGCAAUUGAGGAGACCGUAAAUACCGAUUCCCAGAUUCCAGGAGUCACAAACUACAGACUGUUAGAUGGUACCAUGUUUCAGUAUGGUGUCUGAGAUUAUUCUCCUAUAUAAAACAAAGGGGAUUUUUUUUCCUUAAUUCAUAUCUGCUGAUUCUUAGUAUUUAAAAAGAUGGGCAAACGUAGAAACCUUGCUUGAAAUUAUUUAGAAUCACUAAAUAAUGUGCACAUUCAUCACAGAGCUAACAGUAAUAUUUAUGCUUGUGCUUUUUACAAACUAUUAACCACAAGUUUGAAAAUGGUCUAUUCUGCACCCUUCUUCCUCACAACAGUUCUUUAUCUGAGGUGGUAACGAGUAUUAAAGUUAAAUUAUAAAGGAAAUUGGCUACUUGUAUCUUCUGUGUAGAGACAGAAAAACAUUAAAGGGCAGCCCCAAGACUUUCUUAACUUUUUGCACUCUGGUUUGUUUCUAACAUUUAUGUCCAGUACAGUUUGCUGAUUAUAUGCUCAUUUGCUGAGUAUAUGCCCAUUGACUUUUAGCCUUCAAUAAUGUGUCUCCAGUCAAGCAAAUUUUGCCAAGCCUUUUGACAUAUGCUACCACAAUAAUAAAGCUGAGAAAAUAAAAUAUCCA
RNAcentral lists this long non-coding RNA (854 nucleotides) under Numida meleagris (helmeted guineafowl). RNAcentral describes it as "lncRNA (ENSNMEG00000008944.1)". The record is from RNAcentral. Lineage: Eukaryota; Metazoa; Chordata; Aves; Galliformes; Numididae.